UAGGGAAUCUUCCGCAAUGGGCGAAAGCUUGACGGAGCAACGCCGCGUGAGUGAUGAAGGUCUUCGGAUCGUAAAACUCUGUUAUUAGGGAAGAACAAAUGUGUAAGUAACUAUGCACGUCUUGACGGUACCUAAUCAGAAAGCCACGGCUAACUACGUGCCAGCAGCCGCGGUAAUACGUAGGUGGCAAGCGUUAUCCGGAAUUAUUGGGCGUAAAGCGCGCGUAGGCGGUUUUUUAAGUCUGAUGUGAAAGCCCACAGCUCAACCGUGGAGGGUCAUUGGAAACUGGAAAACUUGAGUGCAGAAGAGGAAAGUGGAAUUCCAUGUGUAGCGGUGAAAUGCGCAGAGAUAUGGAGGAACACCAGUGGCGAAGGCGACUUUCUGGUCUGUAACUGACGCUGAUGUGCGAAAGCGUGGGGAUCAAACAGG
Molecule: ribosomal RNA, 429 nt
Filed under: Actinomycetes bacterium
Lineage: Bacteria; Bacillati; Actinomycetota; Actinomycetes
Description: Actinobacteria bacterium partial 16S ribosomal RNA
Rfam family: Bacterial small subunit ribosomal RNA
Source: RNAcentral